UAACAACCAAAAAUCAUCAAAUUGAUAAGGAGAUCAAGGGAAAAAUCGAAUGCAUGGGUCUGGAUACUCUUUAAUCUAAGUGUAUUGAUCAUAAGGAACGUGUCAAGGAGAGCUCAAGCAUAGGAGGAUAACGGGUCAAGAUAAGGCAAGGUGACAAAUACACUUAUUGGAGUACUCAAGGUAAGUGAUUUCUAUAAUCACUUCUUUAGUUGUUUAAGUAAUAUAAUGUGUUAAUUAUUAAGUUCAUAUGAAGUUGAGGUCAAAUCAAUAGAUUAUUUUGAUAAAUGCACGAAUGGGUCGAAUAAUUCAUAGAUAAAUAACAAGCCGAAUACGUAUAAGUUAAGAAAUUCCUUAACUCGGAUGUUGGACUUCAAGGUCACAUGAUAGAAUAUUAAAUUACAAUCAUAUAGGAAGAAACGUGACGCAAAACGGAUGAAAAAUGAGAGAGUUAUGUCCGUUUCGGUAAGGAUUAAUGGCUAGGAAAAGCGCAGAGUUGACACGGCCGGGUGGUGAACUGACACGGCCGGGUGAAGGUUCUGUCAAAAAUAUUAUUUAUGUGAUUUAUGCGCCGUAGGUUGCGGUAUAUUAUCCGUGAAUUACGACGGGCCUCCCAAACAUGGUUUCGAGUGUUUCCUUGACGAUUAUAAGUUGUAAACCCAAGUCUAAGCCUCAUGUAAUUUAUAUAAGAGGGUGUUAGAUGUAUGUAAUGAGGUUGGACAUGUAUUACAUGUAAAUGUAUACAAAAAUACGUACGGAACACGUAGAUGUGUAUGAUUGUAAGAUCGUAUGUGUGCAAGUAUGUGCGAAUGCAUGA
This 814-nucleotide long non-coding RNA is filed under the name Helianthus annuus (common sunflower). RNAcentral describes it as "hypothetical non coding rna". The record is from RNAcentral. Lineage: Eukaryota; Viridiplantae; Streptophyta; Magnoliopsida; Asterales; Asteraceae.